This 132-nucleotide small RNA is filed under the name Escherichia coli. Its description in RNAcentral is "RtT sRNA". It matches the Rfam family "RtT RNA". From Rfam's summary of the family: This family represents a bacterial cis-regulatory element known as RtT RNA. The exact function of RtT is unknown although it is thought that it may be involved in changing the cellular response in relation to amino acid starvation. Lineage: Bacteria; Pseudomonadati; Pseudomonadota; Gammaproteobacteria; Enterobacterales; Enterobacteriaceae. The record is from RNAcentral.
AUUCUGCCCAUGCGGGGAAGGAUGAGAAGCUUCGACCAGGGUUCGACUGGAGCGCCAGCGAGAGAGCGUUGCCGCAGGCAACGACCCGAAGGGCGAAGCGCGCAGCGCUGAGUAAUCCUUCCCCCACCACCA